CCUACGGGUGGCAGCAGUAGGGAAUAUUGCUCAAUGGGGGAAACCCUGAAGCAGCAACGCCGCGUGGAGGAUGAAGGUUUUCGGAUUGUAAACUCCUUUUUUUAGGGAAGAUAAUGACGGUAUCUAACCAAUAAGCACCGGCUAACGCCGUGCCAGCAGCCGCGGUAAUACGGAGGGUGCAAGCGUUACUCGGAAUCACUGGGGGUAAAGAGCGCGUAUGCGGGAUAGCAAGUCAGAUGUGAAAUCCCAGGGCUUAACCAUAGAACUGCAUUUGAAACUGUUAUUCUAGAGUAUGGGAGAGGUAGGUGGAAUUCGUGGUGUAGCGGUGAAAUGCGUAGAGAUCAAGAGGAAUACUCAUUGCGAAGGCGACCUGCUAGAACAUAACUGACGCUGAUGCGCGAAAGCGUGGGGAGCAAACAGGAUUAGAUACCCUAGUAGUC
Molecule: ribosomal RNA, 440 nt
Filed under: uncultured bacterium
Lineage: Bacteria
Description: partial 16S ribosomal RNA
Rfam family: Bacterial small subunit ribosomal RNA
Source: RNAcentral